CCAUCAGUUAGGGAUAAUUCUGAUCUGUAAGGUUCCUUUAAGGACCUACAGUUUAGAAACGUGAUGAUUGCGGUUGAUGACUUGUGUGAGUUAAAUCCGCGGGAACUGGGAGUAACGACCCCAGUUUCUAGUCUGAC
This is a small nucleolar RNA of Physella acuta, 137 nucleotides long. RefSeq annotates it as U8 small nucleolar RNA. The record is from RefSeq and is a predicted model, not a curated record. Lineage: Eukaryota; Metazoa; Mollusca; Gastropoda; Physidae.